UCACUGAGAAGCUAAGCAGGGUUAAGCGUUAGCCUUUUAAGCUAAAAACCGGUGAUCCCCAACCACCCCCAGUGAU
This 76-nucleotide transfer RNA is filed under the name Ompok pabda (Pabdah catfish). RNAcentral describes it as "tRNA-Lys". It matches the Rfam family "tRNA". Rfam says of the family: Transfer RNA (tRNA) molecules are approximately 80 nucleotides in length. Lineage: Eukaryota; Metazoa; Chordata; Actinopteri; Siluriformes; Siluridae. The record is from RNAcentral.